AUACGGAGGGUGCAAGCGUUGUUCGGAAUUACUGGGCGUAAAGGGCGCGCAGGCGGCCUGCCAAGUCAGAUGUGAAAUGCCAUGGCUUAACCAUGGACGUGCAUUUGAAACUGGUGGGCUUGAGUACCAGAGGGGAAGGUGGAAUUCCCGGUGUAGAGGUGAAAUUCGUAGAUAUCGGGAGGAAUACCGGUGGCGAGGGCGACUUGCUGGCUGGAUACUGACGCUGAGGCGCGAAAGCGUGGGGAGCAAACAGGAUUAGAUACCCUGGUAGUCCACGCUGUAAACGAUGUGAACUAGAUGUAGGGGGUGUUGAUCCCCUCUGUGUCGGAGCUAACGCAUUAAGUUCACCGCCUGGGGAGUACGGUCGCAAGAUUAAAACUCAAAUGAAUUGACGGGG
RNAcentral lists this ribosomal RNA (397 nucleotides) under uncultured bacterium. RNAcentral's name for it is "partial 16S ribosomal RNA". It matches the Rfam family "Bacterial small subunit ribosomal RNA", at positions 523 to 918 of the family's 1533-position model. The record is from RNAcentral.